This 808-nucleotide ribosomal RNA is filed under the name Nectria synnematosa. RNAcentral's name for it is "Nectria sp. RHP-2022a partial large subunit ribosomal RNA". It matches the Rfam family "Eukaryotic large subunit ribosomal RNA", at positions 77 to 915 of the family's 3401-position model. Lineage: Eukaryota; Fungi; Ascomycota; Sordariomycetes; Hypocreales; Nectriaceae. The record is from RNAcentral.
GCCCUAGUAACGGCGAGUGAAGCGGCAACAGCUCAAAUUUGAAAUCUGGCCCUUGCGGUCCGAGUUGUAAUUUGUAGAGGAUGCUUUUGGUUAGGUGCCUUCCGAGUGCCCUGGAACGGGCCGCCAUAGAGGGUGAGAGCCCCGUCUGGUUGGACACCGAGCCUCUGUAAAGCUCCUUCGACGAGUCGAGUAGUUUGGGAAUGCUGCUCUAAAUGGGAGGUAUAUGUCUUCUAAAGCUAAAUAUUGGCCAGAGACCGAUAGCGCACAAGUAGAGUGAUCGAAAGAUGAAAAGCACUUUGAAAAGAGGGUUAAAAAGUACGUGAAAUUGUUGAAAGGGAAGCGCUUGUGACCAGACUUGGGCCCGGUCAAUCAUCCAGGGUUCUCCCUGGUGCACUUGGCCGGCCCAGGCCAGCAUCAGUUCGUCGCGGGGGAUAAAGACGUUGGGAAUGUGGCUCCCCCGGGAGUGUUAUAGCCCUUCGUGCAAUACCCUGCUUUGGACUGAGGUUCGCGCAUCUUGCAAGGAUGCUGGCGUAAUGGUCAUCAGCGACCCGUCUUGAAACACGGACCAAGGAGUCGUCUUCGUAUGCGAGUGUUCGGGUAUCAAACCCCUACGCGUAAUGAAAGUGAACGCAGGUGAGAGCUUCGGCGCAUCAUCGACCGAUCCUGAUGUUCUCGGAUGGAUUUGAGUAAGAGCAUACGGGGCCGGACCCGAAAGAAGGUGAACUAUGCCUGUAUAGGGUGAAGCCAGAGGAAACUCUGGUGGAGGCUCGCAGCGGUUCUGACGUGCAAAUCGAUCGUCAAAUAUGGG